UGACUGCUAUCGGAUUGAUACUAAGCCAUGCGAGUCAUUGUAGCAGUACAAGGCAUACGGCUCAGUAACGCGUAGUCAACCUAACCUAUGGACGGGAAUAACCUCGGGAAACUGAGAAUAAUGCCCGAUAGAACAUUAUGCCUGGAAUGGUUUAUGUUCCAAAUGAUUUAUCGCCGUAGGAUGGGACUGCGGCCUAUCAGUUUGUUGGUGAGGUAAUGGCCCACCAAGACUAUUACAGGUACGGGCUCUGAGAGGAGUAGCCCGGAGAUGGGUACUGAGACACGGACCCAGGCCCUAUGGGGCGCAGCAGGCGAGAAAACUUUGCAAUGUGCGAAAGCACGACAAGGUUAAUCCGAGCGGUUUCUGCUAAAGAAACCUUUUGUCAGUCCUAGAAACACUGAUGAGUAAGGGGUGGGCAAGUUCUGGUGUCAGCCGCCGCGGUAAAACCAGCACCUCAAGUGGUCAGGAUGAUUAUUGGGCCUAAAGCAUCCGUAGCCGGCUCUGUAAGUUUUCGGUUAAAUCUGUACGCUCAACGUACAGGCUGCCGGGAAUACUGCAGAACUAGGGAGUGGGAGAGGUAGACGGUACUCGGUAGGAAGGGGUAAAAUCCUUUGAUCUAUUGAUGACCACCUGUGGCGAAGGCGGUCUAACAGAACACGUCCGA
This 664-nucleotide ribosomal RNA is filed under the name uncultured crenarchaeote. RNAcentral describes it as "bacterial SSU rRNA". It matches the Rfam family "Archaeal small subunit ribosomal RNA", at positions 24 to 694 of the family's 1478-position model. The record is from RNAcentral. Lineage: Archaea; Thermoproteati; Thermoproteota.